UCUUUGAUGGUCUAGUGGUCAUGAUUUCCGCUUGUCAGAUAGUGCUCGCGGGAGACCGGGUUCGAUUCCCCGUCAGAGAG
This 80-nucleotide transfer RNA is filed under the name Blumeria hordei DH14. Its description in RNAcentral is "tRNA-Asp for anticodon GUC". It matches the Rfam family "tRNA". Rfam says of the family: Transfer RNA (tRNA) molecules are approximately 80 nucleotides in length. Their secondary structure includes four short double-helical elements and three loops (D, anti-codon, and T loops). Lineage: Eukaryota; Fungi; Ascomycota; Leotiomycetes; Helotiales; Erysiphaceae. The record is from RNAcentral.